This 324-nucleotide ribosomal RNA is filed under the name uncultured Chloroflexota bacterium. RNAcentral describes it as "bacterial SSU rRNA". It matches the Rfam family "Bacterial small subunit ribosomal RNA", at positions 28 to 351 of the family's 1533-position model. The record is from RNAcentral. Lineage: Bacteria; Bacillati; Chloroflexota.
GAUGAACGUUGGCGGUGCGCUUUAUGCAUGCAAGUCGUACGGGACUAUAGUUUUCGGAUUAUGGUUCAGUGGCGGACGGCUGAGUAACACGUAGGUAACUUGCCCGUGAGCGGGGGAUAACUUGCCGAAAGGUAGGCUAAUACCGCAUGACAUGGAUUUGCUAAAGCAGAUUCAUCAAAGUCGCAAGACACUCGCGGAUAGGCCUGCGGCCGAUUAGCUAGUUGGCGGGGUAAUAGCCCACCAAGGCAGUGAUCGGUAGCUGGUCUGAGAGGAUGUCCAGCCAGAUGGGGACUGAGACACGGCCCCAACUCCUACGGGAGGCUG